RNAcentral lists this non-coding RNA (29 nucleotides) under Rattus norvegicus (Norway rat). Lineage: Eukaryota; Metazoa; Chordata; Mammalia; Rodentia; Muridae. The record is from RNAcentral.
UACCUCCAACAGGCACAUUAAGGUCCUCC